CAACGGUAAUACACACGCACACACAAACCGACAAAACCCUUAACAUAAACAAACGGCCGCGCCCGUAACGAACACGGGGAAGUCUUCUGUUGCGCGCACGCUUGCUGUGCGUGUGUGUGCUUGCCGGCUUUCGUUUCGCUUGCUUGCUGUGCCUGCGCGCGCCAAGCACGUGUGCCUCUCGGCCGAAAAAAAAAGAGGGGGCCUUACCAGCAACUGAAGAAGGGGAGCGCAGACGUAGACGCGGCCAGACAAACCGCGCCCGUACUCAACCAUACAACUAGCGCCGUUAUCGUGCUGCUCUUCUUGUACGCACAGGCGCACGCACGGGAACGGUCUUCGUGAUGGACGGCCGACUUGUGCAGACGUCGUGCCGGACGACGCACUUUUCGGCGGUGGAGGCGACGCUGCGGGAUUGGCCCGAGGUCGAGGCGGUUGGCUCCUUCCGCGAGAAGAAGAACAACAAGAGGGACAUCACGACAGUGUUCGUCACCUUCCGCGACGAGGCGGCGGCGAAGGCGGCCAGGGCGAAGCUCGAUGCCAUUCCCGGUAUCGCUGAGGCGGCCACUGCCUUGUCUACCUCUCCGGAGCAGGAGAAGGGGACGACCAGCGGCAGUCGAAGCAAGCGCUCGCAGACGAAGAAAGGCAACGCCGGUAGUGACAAGAAGAGCCUCGCUGCGGAGUUCUUGAACUUCGAGUCGUAUGAGGAUCAGAAGCAGCGCAAGGCGCACACGAGGAGGAGCAACGGCGUGCCGGAGGUGACGGGUGCGGAGACGACGCGUAGAGGCCGCGGUGGGCGUGGAAUGGGCCGCGGCAAUAACAACAACAGCCGCGGUGCUGGUGGCAGCCACCGUGGCAUGCGUGGUCGCGGUGGCGCUCAUCUGCAGCCGCCGCAGAACUUUCAGCAGCCGCAGCAGUACCAGCAGCACCAGCUUCACCCGCCGCCGCCACCGCCGCCACCGCCGCCACCGCCGCCGCGCCUACCGCCGUUCGAGGCGAACGUUGCCUUCAUUGACAACGUGCCAUUCGGCACCACGAAUAGAUACCUCAUGGAGCACUUCUCCGCCUUCGGCCGCAUUCUCGAUGUGAACCGUCUCGAGCUGAUGGUCAUGAUCUGCUUUGACAACCCGGAGUCGGUGCAGCAGUGCAUCCAGCACAUGAACGGCACCAAGAUCCACGACAACGUCAUCACGGUGAGCAGCGGCACCGUCCGCAUCCCCGGCAGCGUAGCAAUCCAGAUGGGUGUUUAAGGCGGCAAGUGGAGCAGGAGGAGGAACGACGGGACGGAAGGACGCGCGGACGCGUGAGAGCAUCCGCAUUCUGCGUUGAUGGAGUAAGGGAGGGACGACAGAAGGGGAACGGAUCAGCCGCCACCGUGCUAACAUCGCGCAUGUCGCAGCUGCCAUGGAUCAGCGCGAGCGACUCUUGGCAUACCUCACACCCCUUCCUCCUUCAUAUGUCCUCCUCCCCGCACACCGUUAAAAGCCUUCACACACAAUACACAUGCAUACACCGACAGACCGACAGACACCUGCUAAUGGCCACCACCGCCUGCUCUCCUGCGCUGAUACGGCGCUUUUCGUGACGUUUGUGUGUGCACGCGUGUGUGUGCGUACUUCCCUGCGGAUGCCGAAAAAGGAAAGGAUGGAGGGGGAGGAGGAGGAGGAGGGGAAGGGGUGGGCGGGCAUGGGCAGAGAGGCACAACUUAUUCACCUUUUCCGUGUUGACCCAUGCGCCUCUCCCUCUGUGUUUGUGAUCUGCCCCUCGUCGUCCCUCCACGCCCUACCGAAGGUCGGAGGCGUCCGUCUCUCCGCCUGUCCUUCGCCAUCGCUCACCCCUCGCUUGUGUGCGAGUGUAUGUGUGCCCGUUGUCCAAAACAACGCACAGAUAAAAGAAGCGUAUAAGUGGGCACUGACUAACAUAAGAAGAACCAACGAG
Molecule: unclassified non-coding RNA, 1935 nt
Filed under: Leishmania donovani
Lineage: Eukaryota; Euglenozoa; Kinetoplastea; Trypanosomatida; Trypanosomatidae
Description: gene:LdHU3.17.0910(CDS-product:RNA-binding_protei n_putative)
Source: RNAcentral